UACGAAGGGGGCUAGCGUUGCUCGGAAUUACUGGGCGUAGAGGGCGCGUAGGCGGACAGUUUAGUCGGAGGUGAAAGCCCAGGGCUCAACCUUGGAAUUGCCUUUGAUACUGGCUGUCUUGAGUUCGGGAGAGGUGAGUGGAAUGCCGAGUGUAGAGGUGAAAUUCGUAGAUAUUCGGCGGAACACCAGUGGCGAAGGCGACUCACUGGCCCGAUACUGACGCUGAGGCGCGAAAGCGUGGGGAGCAAACAGG
RNAcentral lists this ribosomal RNA (253 nucleotides) under uncultured bacterium. Its description in RNAcentral is "partial 16S ribosomal RNA". It matches the Rfam family "Bacterial small subunit ribosomal RNA", at positions 524 to 776 of the family's 1533-position model. The record is from RNAcentral.